Molecule: long non-coding RNA, 2751 nt
Organism: Rattus norvegicus (Norway rat)
Lineage: Eukaryota; Metazoa; Chordata; Mammalia; Rodentia; Muridae
Source: RefSeq, a predicted model, not a curated record
GGUGAAUGAGAUUCGUGAAUGACGAGCGGCUAAGUCAGCUCCGGGUUGCGAGCUGCCUAGGUGAACUGCCGAGUUUUCCUGUCCAGGCAGCAAGGCUCAGAGGUCCUAAGACCCCUUUGGCUUUCUGCCACAGAGGCACUCCAGAGACGGACAGAUCUCUUCCCCACACGCCCCGCCCCCUGCUUACAGUAGCUGUGAGUAAUCCUAAAGGAAGCUGAUGGGGGAAGCCCUGCACGGCUGUGGGAAUCUAGUAAAUAGGUGCCCGUUGCUGGCUGGGCCACAAGAUAACCCAAGGUUCCGGUCACCUUUGGUCCCUCUGCUGUGAUUUAUGGCUUACAGGAGGUCCAUCUGGUUCCCACAUGUGAACUCUCAGGCUUCAUUGGAACAGCCGUGGUUAUUCCCGUACGUAAUUACACCAUAAUGAGUUUCAACUUCCCCUUCGAGCUCAAGGGAAUGCUGGAAUCCCCCGACUUUCUCCUCAAGUCACCCUUGACUUUGUCUGACCUUCUGUACAGGUUUUGCUUCCCAGUCCAACUGAAUCUGUGCCUGAAGAGAGACGUUUUCUGAGAAAUGAUCCACAUCCCUGUCCUCCUUCCUGGACCAUCGCUGGCAGAUGCUGGCCGGAAACAAGCAUUCUCUUGUCUUUACGGGAAUGGCAUCCUUGUGGCUCUUGCUGGAAUCAGCAGAUGGAAUGAUGGCUCCGUGAUUAAAAGCACUGACUGCUCUUCCAGAAGACCUGGGUUCAAAUCUCAGCACCCACAUGGUGGCUGACAUUCAUCUGUAACUCCAGUUUGAGGUGAUCUGACAUCCUCUUCCAGCUGAUGGAGACCCUGUACACAUGUGAUGCACAGACAUGCAUGCUGGUAAAACAUAGAUAAGAGUCGGUACAUCCUCAUGUAAAAUGAAGUUGUCUCACUACACCCGAUAGCCAUACACAGUAAUUACCUUCUAUUUUCUAAACCAAAUCCCCUGGUUUUGGCAGACUACCGAACUACAAGGUACAUAACCGAAGAGGAAAUAGUUUUUAAACCGAAGUUCUUCUUUGUUGUUUUAUUUUGAGAUACAGCUGACCGUGCUGACAAGUUAAGUUUGAACCACUCAGAUAGAUUAGUCUUAGAGCCGGAAACCCAUAUCACAUGAUCUCACAGUGGAAGCUGAUAUACCCUCCUCCAUCAGGACUCCGUAGCUCUAAUGCAUAGAACACGGGUGAACUGGGUACAGCUCAUUGCCCAUGGGAUCUUGAUUCAUCCAAUGGCUUGUUUUAAGUCUCAGUGUUCUCUUGCAUUAAAAAAAUGAAAUAAAAUAGUAGGAGCAUGGCUCUCACCUUCUCGUGGAGCUGCUAAGAAGUCGGGUGUGGUCAUGUGACUUUGAUCUGGAAGCUGCCAAGACAGGCAAGGUGCCCACACAGUUGCCAUGAAGUUACAGACAAUGGCUGCAUUCUUCAGAGAUGGGGCCAAGACAGUGGUGGAAAAUGCAUACUGCCAGUGCCUUGGCUAAGAGAUGUCGGGGAAAGGUAGUUAGGAGGUUAGAGAAUGCCUUUGGGAAAAAUCUCACUUUAUGUAGUCAAUUGGAAAGCAGACAACCCUGUGUUUUGGGGGAGAAAAUAGGAGGAGGAGGAGGAGGAGGAGGAGGAGGAGGAAGAAGAAGAAAAGAAGAAAAAGAAGAAGAAGAAAAGAAGAAAAAGAAGAAGAAGAAGAAGAAGAAGAGGAAGAAGAGGAAGAAGAAGAAGAAAAAGCAGCCAUGAACAGCUAAGGUGCUUGCUAAAAACAUGGUAAUAGGGGAAGAAAUGGGGACUCCUGAAAUGUAAAGUCACUGGAAACAAAGACUAAACUGCCUUCAAGUGUGGAACUGCUCAGAUUCCAAGCAGUAUCUCACCUAUGUCUCUUAGACUACUCUAAGAGUGGUUGUGUAUGACAGGAGUGUGCUCAAAGGUCCCUGGAAGUCUGACAAUAAGGACCUCUACAUCACCCAGGAGCAGUGAGAUUGGGCUCAAUCCUAAAAUCCAGCUUUACCUGCUGGGCUCAUACCCAAGGACUCUGGUUCCUACUACGGAGACACAUAGCCGUCCGUAUGGACAGCUGCUCUAUUCACAAGAGCUAAGACAUGGAAACAGCCCUGACGCCCAUGAGCUGGUGAGUGCCUAGUGGAGAUGUGGUGCAGAAACGCAGUGGAACUUUCUACAGCUGUGGAUACAAACAAAGCCGUGAGAUUUGCAGCUAAGUAGUCGGAGCUGGAAACAUAGAUUGAGUGAGGUAACCUUUGAGCCUGGGAAGAACCACCCUUACUUGACACUAGAGGUAGACAUUACCACACUCUAAUUUGAGUAGCAAAUGUCUCCACAACCUCGUGUGACUGAACAUUUGGUCUCCAGGUGGUGGCACCAUUUGGAAGAGGCUGUUUAAACUCUAGAAGGUGGGUUCUAACAGGAGAAAUUUCUGGGGGUUGGGGGUUGGGUGCUGGAUAUGAUAGUGUGAUGGGUUGUAUAUGCUUGGCCCAGGGAGGGAUACUAUUAGAAGGGGUGGCCCUGUUGGAGUUGGUGUAUCACUGUGGGGAUGGGCUUGGAGACCCUCCUAGCUGCCUGAGGAUGCUCAGUCUGUUCCUGGCUUCCUUCAGGUGGAGAUGUAGAACUCAGCUCCUCCUGCACCAUGCCUGCCUGGAUGCAGGGAUGCUGCCAUGUUCCCUCCUUGAUGAUAAUGGACUGAACCUCUGAACCUGUAAGCCAGCCCCAAUUAAAGGUUGUCCUUUAUAAAA